This 213-nucleotide ribosomal RNA is filed under the name uncultured Pseudomonadota bacterium. RNAcentral describes it as "uncultured proteobacterium partial 16S ribosomal RNA". It matches the Rfam family "Bacterial small subunit ribosomal RNA", at positions 270 to 500 of the family's 1533-position model. Lineage: Bacteria; Pseudomonadati; Pseudomonadota. The record is from RNAcentral.
AAGACAUUGAUCAAUAGCUGAUUUGAGAGGAUGAUCAGCCACAUUGGGACUGAGACACGGCCCAAACUCCUACGGGAGGCAGCAGUAGGGAAUCUUGCACAAUGGAGGAAACUCUGAUGCAGCGAUGCCGCGUGAGUGAAGAAGGCCCUUGGGUUGUAAAGCUCUUUCGUCGGGGAAGAAAAUGACUGUACCCGAAUAAGAAGGUCCGGCUAA